AAUGACGGUACCUGAGGAAUAAGCAUCGGCUAACUCCGUGCCAGCAGCCGCGGUAAUACGGAGGAUGCAAGCGUUAUCCGGAAUGAUUGGGCGUAAAGAGUCCGUAGGUGGCAUUGAAAGUCUGCUGUUAAAGAGUCUAGCUCAACUAGAUAAAAGCAGUGGAAACUACAAAGCUAGAGUUUGGUCGGGGCAGAAGGAAUUCCUGGUGUAGCGGUGAAAUGCGUAGAUAUCAGGAAGAACACCGGUGGCGAAGGCGUUCUGCUAGGCCGAGACUGACACUGAGGGACGAAAGCUAGGGGAGCGAAUGGGAUUAGAUACC
This 319-nucleotide ribosomal RNA is filed under the name Dolichospermum circinale AWQC318. RNAcentral's name for it is "bacterial SSU rRNA". It matches the Rfam family "Bacterial small subunit ribosomal RNA", at positions 468 to 786 of the family's 1533-position model. The record is from RNAcentral. Lineage: Bacteria; Bacillati; Cyanobacteriota; Cyanophyceae; Nostocales; Aphanizomenonaceae.